Molecule: non-coding RNA, 127 nt
Filed under: Dasypus novemcinctus (nine-banded armadillo)
Lineage: Eukaryota; Metazoa; Chordata; Mammalia; Cingulata; Dasypodidae
Source: RNAcentral
AUGUUGUAUGAAAGGAGAGAAGGUUAGCACUCCCCUUGACAAGGACGGAAGAGGCCCUCAGGCCUGUACAACACACAUGCUGUUAAAGCAUUGCCACCUACUUUGUGGCAUCUAACCACUGUUUUUC